UGUGUUCUAGCUCUACCUCCAUCUGCAGUCUGAGGGCUGGGAAGCAGCUGGUGGUGGAGCUGAAAAAGGCUAAUGGCAGCCUGGGCAUCAGUGUAGCUGGUGGAGUGAACACCAGUGUUCAUGACGGGGGGAUCUACAUCGAGAGUCUGGUGCCAAGGGGUGCUGCUGAACAGGACGGACGCAUUCAGAUUGGUGACCGACUGCUGGAAGUUGAUGGGUCCAACUUGCGAGGUGUAACACAAAAACAGGCCGUGGAGUGCCUGAAGAGGACUGGAGAGGU
Long non-coding RNA from Oncorhynchus keta (chum salmon), 280 nucleotides. RefSeq lists it as uncharacterized. Lineage: Eukaryota; Metazoa; Chordata; Actinopteri; Salmoniformes; Salmonidae. The record is from RefSeq and is a predicted model, not a curated record. The transcript has 3 exons.